CCUGGACUCUGUUGUGUCAUUACAACUGGUCUGAAAUGUGUGAGUGCACCCUGCUGUUGCAGCGUCUUCAGUGUGAUAAGCAUCUUCACUGGAUCAAGUUCCUUUGGGCACGUGCAAUGUGGGCUCUGUGCUGGCAAACUGUCUUUGGACAAUCUUGACAAUUUGACCUCAGAUCGGGUGGGACUACCCGCUGAACUUAA
Molecule: unclassified non-coding RNA, 200 nt
Filed under: soil metagenome
Description: partial contains internal transcribed spacer 2 and large subunit ribosomal RNA
Source: RNAcentral